AGAAAUCAAGAGGAGAGAAAAUAGAUUGGACACCAUACGGCCCUCAGGAAAACCCUAGACACAAAGCAAGAAGUUGUUGCAGGAUCUGUGGACUUCAAGCUAGAGGAGAAGGAGGUACCGAGGAGCCGCAAUUGCUUUUGAAGCCUUCUCCCCAACACUAAAACAAUCAGACCGACUCCUAGUGUCGACAAGGAACAAGUUUACCUGCUGCCUUUUCAUCCCAGCAAGGAACCUUUCCACUGAAGCAGGAGUUGGCGGUUUCUGUUUGUGAGGGGCCACGCGCGGGGAGGGGUGGAAGGAAGAGGGUCGCUCCUGGGCUAUAUUUGGAAAAGAAUUCCGACGUCCUUCCAGCAGAGCUGUGCAAAAGAUGGACGGAUCGAUAGAUAUGGGUCUGACUGAGUCACAAGCCAACCGAAGUGUUGCCAUUGACUUCAAUGCCACCAUCAUGAAACCUUUGACGUUGUUCCCAUCUCCCGGUAGAGUUUGGGCGUGAGGGGGGAAAGCCACCUUCCUUUCCCGACCUUUGCUCCACAAUCAAAGAUCCCCCAUUGUCUCAGGACCCCAAAUGUAUCGGUGGGGUCUGUCAUCCUACGCAAAACGGGCCAGAUCUACUCCCGGUGUCGGAUAUAGAUACAGCGCGUGAUCCACGUGUUCUCGCUUAUAUCACUCAUGCAUGAAUUCAGCGCCGCCGCCCAACAGACGCGCCCAAACUUUGUGAAACGUAGUGAAACCACUAGUCAUCUGAAACCAUCGAAUCCCGAAUUAAAGCUCAUCCACCACCCCUGCCUGGUAGACAGGACAGCGAUGGCGGGUUUGUCCCCGAUUAAAAUGACGUCUUUCAGUUGAGUGGUUUUGUUUCGUUUAAGGAUUCAGACCAGAAAUUGCCCUGUGACAUAGGCAAGAAGCAGCCAUAUCACUGAGGGAAGAUAUCAACCGAUUACUCCCAAAAUAGCGAAUCUUUCCGGCGGGGAGGUUACUUGCUUAACUCUGAGCUAGUUGUUUUAGCUCCAGAGGACACUUUUCCUCCGUUGGACUCAUGAGGGCUUCGCGGACUAUUCUGUGAUUUUUGAGGCUGUAAUGCUGGCGUAGGAGGAUGCAUCGACUUUCUCCGCAAUGGCCCGGAGCGCACAGGAACACAAACACACACGCCUGGACAGACACAUGUGCGCGCAACACGCGCACCCCGGCAAACCCAGCCAUCCCCAGUACCAAAGGCCCAGACACAGACACACGCCUCGCGAACGCACCCAGCGAGCCCGCCGGUUCUGCGCGCUCUC
Long non-coding RNA from Mauremys reevesii (Reeves's turtle), 1277 nucleotides. RefSeq lists it as uncharacterized. The record is from RefSeq and is a predicted model, not a curated record. The transcript has 4 exons. Lineage: Eukaryota; Metazoa; Chordata; Testudines; Geoemydidae.